CCCGGGUACUUGUACACACCGCCCGUCACACCAUGGGAGCGGGAUGUACCAGAAGUAGGUAGGCCAACCGCAAGGGGGCCGCUUACCACGGUGCGUUUCGUGACUGGGGUG
RNAcentral lists this ribosomal RNA (111 nucleotides) under uncultured bacterium. RNAcentral describes it as "partial 16S ribosomal RNA". It matches the Rfam family "Bacterial small subunit ribosomal RNA", at positions 1372 to 1482 of the family's 1533-position model. The record is from RNAcentral.